RNAcentral lists this ribosomal RNA (472 nucleotides) under uncultured bacterium. RNAcentral's name for it is "bacterial SSU rRNA". It matches the Rfam family "Bacterial small subunit ribosomal RNA", at positions 28 to 492 of the family's 1533-position model. The record is from RNAcentral.
GAUGAACGCUGGCGGCGUGCUUAACACAUGCAAGUCGAACGAAGCACUCUAUUUGAUUUUCUUCGGAAAUGAAGAUUUUGUGACUGAGUGGCGGACGGGUGAGUAACGCGUGGGUAACCUGCCUCAUACAGGGGGAUAACAGUUGGAAACGACUGCUAAUACCGCAUAAGCGCACGGUACCGCAUGGUACCGUGUGAAAAACUCCGGUGGUAUGAGAUGGACCCGCGUCUGAUUAGCUAGUUGGUGGGGUAACAGCCUACCAAGGCGACGAUCAGUAGCCGACCUGAGAGGGUGACCGGCCACAUUGGGACUGAGACACGGCCCAAAACUCCUACGGGAGGCAGCAGUGGGGAAUAUUGCACAAUGGGGGGAAAACCCUGAUGCAGCGACGCCGCGUGAGCGAAGAAGUAUUUCGGUAUGUAAAGCUCUAUCAGCAGGGAAGAAAAAAAUGACGGUACCUGACUAAGAAGCA